UGGGGAAUAUUGCGCAAUGGGGGCAACCCUGACGCAGCAACGCCGCGUGCGGGACGACGGCCUUCGGGUUGUAAACCGCUUUCAGCAGGGAAGAUAGUGACGGUACCUGCACAAGAAGCCCCGGCUAACUACGUGCCAGCAGCCGCGGUAAUACGUAGGGGGCGAGCGUUAUCCGGAUUCAUUGGGCGUAAAGGGUUCGCAGGCGGAAAUGCAAGUCAGGUGUAAAAGGCAGUAGCUUAACUACUGUAAGCAUUUGAAACUGCAUAUCUUGAGAAGAGUAGAGGUAAGUGGAAUUUUUAGUGUAGCGGUGAAAUGCGUAGAUAUUAGGAGGAAUACCGGUGGCGAAGGCGACUUUCUGGACUUUUACUGACGCUCAGGUACGAAAGCGUGGGGAGCAAACAGG
This 403-nucleotide ribosomal RNA is filed under the name Verrucomicrobiota bacterium. Its description in RNAcentral is "Verrucomicrobia bacterium partial 16S ribosomal RNA". It matches the Rfam family "Bacterial small subunit ribosomal RNA", at positions 355 to 776 of the family's 1533-position model. The record is from RNAcentral. Lineage: Bacteria; Pseudomonadati; Verrucomicrobiota.